AAGGUAAAUCGGGUAGUCGAUCAGUCUUUUUACGCCAAGUUUAGAGGCUGAUAGGAAAGUCCGGACUCCACGCAAGAAAAAGGUAGCGGGUAACGCCCGUCUGGAGUAAUCCAAGAGGUGCGAGCAGAGACGCUAAUAUUAGAAAUAAUAUUAGCUCCCAAGUAAUUGGGAUGAGUCUUAAUAGCAAUAUUAAGAGUGAAACGGCUAAAUCCUUACCCGGGAGCAAGGUCGUGUCCUGUGUUUUACGUAAAUACAGGAAGUGCCGCUUUGACCCCGACGGUAACGUCGGGGCUAGAUAAAUGACUACACUCGACAGAAUCCGGCUUAUAGAUUUACCUUGGUA
Molecule: RNase P RNA, 343 nt
Filed under: Candidatus Moranbacteria bacterium RIFOXYA12_FULL_44_15
Lineage: Bacteria; Candidatus Moraniibacteriota
Also listed under: 1 other name
Description: RNase P RNA component class A
Rfam family: Bacterial RNase P class A
About the family: Ribonuclease P (RNase P) is a ubiquitous endoribonuclease, found in archaea, bacteria and eukarya as well as chloroplasts and mitochondria.
Source: RNAcentral